AUCGCCCUUUGAAAUAUAUAUAUAAAGGGUACUGCCUGCCCAGUGACAAAAGUUAAACGGCCGCGGUAUUUUGACCGUGCAAAGGUAGCAUAAUCAUUUGUUCUUUAAUUGAGGACUAGUAUGAAAGGCAAAACGAAAGCUUAACUGUCUCCUUUUUAAAAAAUGAAAUUAAUAUUUUUGUGAAGAAGCAAAAAUAAUAAAGUAAGACGAGAAGACCCUGUCGAGCUUAAGAAAAUUUUUAUAUUACAAUAAAACUACUGAUAAAAUAAAAUAAUAUACUAAAAACCUAAAAUAAAAAUAUCUUUGGUUGGGGCAACCACGAAGAAAAAAAAACCUUCGUUUUUUAAAAAAAAUUUACAAAUUUAAAAAUUAUUAAAAAUUUUUAAGAUCCAGAAAAUUCUGAACAAAGAAAAAAGUUACCGCAGGGAUAACAGCGUUAUUCUCUUUAAGAGCUCUUAUUGACAAGAGAGUUUGCGACCUCGAUGUUGGAUCGGGGCACCCAAGAGGUGCAGAAGCCUCUAAAGGUAGGUCUGUUCGACCUUUAAAGCCCUACGUGAU
Molecule: ribosomal RNA, 558 nt
Filed under: Amphimetra molleri
Lineage: Eukaryota; Metazoa; Echinodermata; Crinoidea; Comatulida; Himerometridae
Description: partial large subunit ribosomal RNA
Rfam family: Bacterial large subunit ribosomal RNA
Source: RNAcentral